RNAcentral lists this ribosomal RNA (219 nucleotides) under uncultured bacterium. RNAcentral describes it as "partial 16S ribosomal RNA". It matches the Rfam family "Bacterial small subunit ribosomal RNA", at positions 15 to 224 of the family's 1533-position model. The record is from RNAcentral.
GAUCAUGGCUCAGGAUGAACGCUAGCUACAGGCUUAACACAUGCAAGUCGAGGGGCAGCAUGGUCUUAGCUUGCUAAGGCUGAUGGCGACCGGCGCACGGGUGAGUAACGCGUAUGCAACUUGCCUAUCAGAGGAGAAUAGCUCAUCGAAAGAUGAAUUAAUGCUCCAUAAAACAGGGGUUCCGCAUGGGAAUAUUUGUUAAAGAUUCAUCGCUGAUAG